This 928-nucleotide long non-coding RNA is filed under the name Medicago truncatula (barrel medic). Its description in RNAcentral is "long non-coding RNA (MTRU_LNC003364)". Lineage: Eukaryota; Viridiplantae; Streptophyta; Magnoliopsida; Fabales; Fabaceae. The record is from RNAcentral.
CGUAUUCGUUGUUUUAGUUACUUCUUGAUUCAGGCAGGUAUUCACCAAUAUUAGAUAUGUCACCUCCCUAAGUAACUUUAUCUCAAUGUUAUUCGCUUCAGAGAAGACAAAUCUUACGCACGACAAUAAAAUUAAAUAGGAUUCAAAAUAUAACUUAAUAAAAACUUUAAAUUAAAUAAAAUAUCCAACAAAAAAAAAUAGAGUUGAUCUUUGAACCCUAGCCUAAAAAGAUUUAGUUACUAAUGGUAACUACCGACAAAUUACAAAAGAAAUAAAAUAUAUCUUAAAGACUCGGACUGACGACUGAACUUCUCCUUUGAAGCUUCUAGUGCUUACCUUCCUCUUGAAGCGCUUCGCUAUGAAUGAGAAAUUAUGAAUGAAAUGCUUGGUAUUUAUAGGGAAAGUUUCCACCUGAAGUUGGACUAAAAAACGAGCUUUUUCCACUUAAAAGUAGCGAAAAUCAAUUCUUGCCCGAAUUUCUAUAAAUGUUUCUUUUUUUGAAGAAACCAAAAUGGAAUUAAAUAACCAAAACCAAAAGCAGUUACCAAGCACAAGGUGUGCCUAGAUAACUAUUACAAUAUAACAGAGUUUAUCACAAACGAAAGAAGAACACGAGAGUAGUUAGCCAAUACCCAAACAAGCUAAAGAGCUUGACCACCACCUCUGCGUGCCAAACACAAAUUAACAUAACAUUUUUGGCUUUCAGCCAUACUAACAAUAACAAUUUCACCUUGUCUAACAAACGGGGAACUAAUGUUACAACACUUUUGAAUAGCCGGUUGUUUCGUUCAAAGAAUUUAUCUGAUUGAGAAUGUUGAAUAAAUAAUGCAAAUAGAAAAUUUUAUACUCAUAUCCUAUCGUUAAAUGAUUUUAUACAUAAAAAUUCCUACUAUGAGUUCAACUUUUGCAAAACUAUGCCAUCUUCCCG